GAGGAGGUAAACCAGGAGAAGGGUAAAUCAAUAUUUCCAGGGCACACAGCCGUAAGAAAGGACACUGCUCACAUCUGACAGCCAUUCCAAGUAGAGGAUGUCCGUAAAGGUGGGAGCCAAGCCUCAGGGCCUUCUUUGCACAAGAAACAUCUCAGGGUACCCACCCCCUUCUUUGCCUGGAACACACCUCCUUGUCCCAGAAGACUCAACAGCUCUGGCCACCCCUCAAUCCCACCAGUGCGGGCUGUGUAUACCUCCUCUACCUUCUCGAGAGUACCGUCCAUGGCUUACCUCUGUCAUAACACUUCCCGGGCUCUGAUGACAUCUCUUUGUCACCGCCAGCACAAUGUUUCCCUCCCAGAUGGAUGGACCGUUCCCAGAGGCCUCUGGCUUCCCUCUUGCCUGCCUAAACGUGGCUGUCUUUGGCUCUGAGGCACUGUCACAUGACACAAAGGAGCACAGGUUACGGUGAGGAGCCGACCUUCAUCUGAGGAGGACUGGGGCUGUGCAGACCCUGGGUCUCUUGGCUUCCCUCCUUUAUAUCAAGCAGUCCUUCCUGAACCUCAAAGAGGAGGCGACAUCAGCCAUGGCAUCUCCAGAAGAUACAUUCCACGGCUGCGUAAAGAAGGGUUCUGAGGAUUAGGAUCAGAAAAUACAAGGAAGUUUGGUUACUUUUUCCCUUGGUGGAUGUUUUAGAAGUUUCUCCUGUACUUUCCUCGAUUUACAAAUUCAUUCCUCAAAGGCUGUGCUGGUUGUCAACCCUUUCCCACCCCAGCACCCUUGAGUGGCCCGCUUCCCAUCAGUACCCACCUCUGAGGAUGCCAGGGAACCUCUGGCUGGGGUGUAAUUAUCUCCAAGGGCACUGUUAGCUUGAUAAGGAGGAGCUUCUUCAUGCUCCUCAGAGGGAAAGCAUUUAAGAGUGUGUUUCCAAGGUUCAGCUGCUCCUCUAAUAACAAUAAUAAUUACCUUAAUGUUCUUCAAUAGGGGAUUAGUUAAACAAAUUAUGGUACAUCCAUGGUACAUGAUGCAGCCAUUAAAUUAAAUGAAGCAGAACAAUACACUGUACCUGUUUCUCCCGCAAUCCGAAGGUAGACCUUUCCUAUGAAACCUGAAACGAUGACAUUCAGUGAAGAAGCAAUUACCAUUCAUUUGUCCAAGACACCCCCGCCCCGCCCCAAAUAACCUUUUUAAGGCUAUUCUGAUACCUUAGGACACAUCUUGCUCACGGAUGCACGAAAUAAAUGAAAGCUACAGACGUUUGAGGUGGAGACA
This 1272-nucleotide long non-coding RNA is filed under the name Felis catus (domestic cat). Its description in RNAcentral is "lncRNA (ENSFCAG00000051374.1)". Lineage: Eukaryota; Metazoa; Chordata; Mammalia; Carnivora; Felidae. The record is from RNAcentral.